Long non-coding RNA from Cephus cinctus (wheat stem sawfly), 1882 nucleotides. RefSeq lists it as uncharacterized. The record is from RefSeq and is a predicted model, not a curated record. Lineage: Eukaryota; Metazoa; Arthropoda; Insecta; Hymenoptera; Cephidae. The transcript has 5 exons.
CAUGGCGCCAACUUCGCGUCUUUACUAUUCCUUUCAGGUAUCCUCACACGGCCGAAUUCCACUGUUCCACGUAUCGCAUACGGUAAUGUACAUAUACGCACUCACGCUUAUCGUGACAAAGUGUUGCGCCUCGCGAUACCGUUCACCAAAAUGGCUAACUCUGAGAGGAGACCAAAGUCUUAACUUCAAGAGGGGAGCAAAUGUUCUAACUUGAAGAGGGGGUCGCGAAGUUUUUCAACGCUGAUCGAAUAAAUGGCGGAAUAAGCAUCUGAAGCGUAUGCUAUUUCAUACUGAUCUGUUAAUCGCGAGUCAAACUACAGGUCGUUUCGCCACGAUAACUCCAACGAGUCUCAAUAGACUCGAAGUCUGUCCCAUGCAGAUAACUUUACAAGUUUAUCGCGCGUCUUUGCAGGGGAGCAAUUAAUGCUACAAUUUAACUAUCUUCGAACGCAGCAUCUUCGCGAUAUGGAAACUUGAAUUUUUUUUUUGGACAACUAUGCAUACAUAUUACUUGACAUCGUUAAAGUCCGAAGUUGCAGAUAAUCACGUUAUUCAUAUGUCUCGGAUUGAAUUAUUAUUGUGUCUUCUGAGGGGCGGAGUGGGGGAAGAUUCUACUAUUAUGAAAUUUACCGCUUCCGGGGUGGGGGCUCAAUUUACACGACUGUUGAUAUUUGUCCAUAAUCACAAAAUCCACGAGAACGCUUAUCAGCGUGUUUAUUAAUUUUUCUAAGCACAGGGUGCAUCAUUGCUUCUAUAAUGUUUUGAAAAUUUCAAUUUUUCCAUUUGUCGUCGGUCAGGGUACGUGCCGAUGUAGUUCGUUCUGUUGGUGUCAACCGAUUGAAAAAAAAAAUGACUGUGGAAAAUAACGAUGGCGUCGCUCAAAGAUCCGAGUCAGAUGGUCAGGGUUGCCGCAUGAUAUUUUGAUAACUAACAAUGAAACGUCACUUUCGAGGACUUUUAGUUUCUUUAUAGAAGUCAUAGUCAACUAACCAAGCAAAUUCAACUGGAUCGAAGCAGUUCGUUUAUCUAAUCUGUACGGUAUUCACCUGGGCUUGACGUAAAGCAUUGCUCGAGAUACAAUAGGAUACUGGAUAGUACAAGUGAAAAAAUGUCAACCACGUGAGGCUUAAAAAAAUUCAAGCUAUCUUAAUCACGUGCUACUCGAGCACGCAUAUCUGACAGACGAUCGAGACUACUCGCUACUGGUUACUACUGGCGAAAACACUCGUCAGGACUAUAGGCACCGCUGUCAACGUUUCAAAUGACAUCAGUGUCACUGGACCAAGUACAUUUAAUCUGCAAGGGUCGACCCACCCGUUGCCAAAUCGGAUGCUGCCAGUGCGCACAAGGAACCAUCAAAAUCCGCUGCCAGGUGUUCUGCGAAAUCUUCGACUUGUGGUGACCAUCCUUGACCGGAACCAUUGCUGCCGACUGAUCCUGAAUAAAGGAUAUUCAUUAAUUAGCAGUAAUCUUUGACUUUUGCCUAUUUUCGUAUAUUAAUUCUUAACAUUGCCAAGCAAUGAUCUUGAUUUAAAUUUUUAGUAAGGUUUAGCAUGAAACGUCCUUGGCACUUCGCAAUAUUAAAAACACCAGCUAGUUCAACGUUUAUGCAUACGUCGUAAGGUCUGCCACCGUUAUAUUAAAGUAUAUCUUAAAUAAUUCUUAAUCAAGUAUUUAUCCUGUCAAGAAACAAAAGAAAAAUUCAAUUCUAAAUGACUUAUUAGUCCAGAGGCACUAUGAAAUAUUGAUAUCCUAUUACACAAACUAUCAAGUAUUUUAAGUAAGCUCCGAUAAAAAGUUCCAUUAAUAUAGGCUUAACUAGUAAGUUUACAAAGUACUGUAUUAUUAUUGGUUUCAUAUUAUUAACGAUUAAAAACAAGAA